Molecule: ribosomal RNA, 266 nt
Filed under: uncultured bacterium
Lineage: Bacteria
Description: partial 16S ribosomal RNA
Rfam family: Bacterial small subunit ribosomal RNA
Source: RNAcentral
UGGCGACCGGCGCACGGGUGAGUAACACGUAUCCAACCUGCCGAUGACUCGGGGAUAGCCUUUCGAAAGAAAGAUUAAUACCCGAUGGCAUAGUUCUUCCGCAUGGUAGAACUAUUAAAGAAUUUCGGUCAUCGAUGGGGAUGCGUUCCAUUAGGUUGUUGGCGGGGUAACGGCCCACCAAGCCUUCGAUGGAUAGGGGUUCUGAGAGGAAGGUCCCCCACCAUUGGAACUGAGACACGGUCCAAACUCCUACGGGAGGCAGCAUG